AGUGAACGCUGGCGGUAGGCCUAACACAUGCAAGUCGAACGGCAGCACAGUAAGAGCUUGCUCUUACGGGUGGCGAGUGGCGGACGUGUGAGGAAUACAUCGGAAUCUACUUUUUCGUGGGGGAUAACGUAGGGAAACUUACGCUAAUACCGCAUACGACCUACGGGUGAAAGCAGGGGAUCUUCGCACCUUGCGCGAUUGAAUGAGCCGAUGUCGGAUUAGCUAGUUGGCGGGGUAAAGGCCCACCAAGGCGACGAUCCGUAGCUGGUCUGAGAGGAUGAUCAGCCACACUGGAAGUGAGACACGGUCCAGACUCCUACGGGAGGCAGCAGUGGGGAAUAUUGGACAAUGGGCGCAAGCCUGAUCCAGCCAUACCGCGUGGGAGAAGAAGGCCUUCGGGUUGUAAAGCCCUUUUGUUGGGAAAGAAAAGCAGCAGGUUAAUACCACGCUGUUCUGACGGUACCCAAAGAAUAUGCACCGGCUAACUUCGUG
This 492-nucleotide ribosomal RNA is filed under the name uncultured bacterium. Its description in RNAcentral is "partial 16S ribosomal RNA". It matches the Rfam family "Bacterial small subunit ribosomal RNA", at positions 29 to 507 of the family's 1533-position model. The record is from RNAcentral.